Molecule: long non-coding RNA, 1204 nt
Organism: Gasterosteus aculeatus aculeatus (three-spined stickleback)
Lineage: Eukaryota; Metazoa; Chordata; Actinopteri; Perciformes; Gasterosteidae
Source: Ensembl
AUUUUUUUAUAAUUUAAAAUGUACUUCAAGAAGUUAAAUACUUAGUUGAUUGUUUUUUAGCAGUUUCAUUCAUUUAAAUAAGUAAACAAUCUUGCAUUAUAGUCUUAAAAGUUCCUCCGGAACACAAUACAGAUUACAGCUGGCAUUUUGAGUUGCAUCUUAAGGUACGGCCACAUUUUAACAAUGCUUUAUUUCUAAUAUUUAGAAUCAACAAGAAAGCUACGCCCCGUCCAGAAAGUAACGGUUUGUAUUUCUCUUAUCAAUACUGUGUAAUAUUUACUGUGCAUAUAUAUAUGAAACUAUAUAUAUAUGUGUAUAUUGUAUGUGAUUAAUGUGGCCGGGAUUAAUGCGAUAACAUUUUCUAACGCAGUUAACGCUUCACACCGGCGAGCUGAGUGGGCGGAGCCUAAUUCUCCCAGAACGGACGUUGUUUGUACAACAGAACAAGAAGGAUCUGUGUACGAGAACACGAAAAACAUAUAUGAAAACUGAAAACUCAACAAUCGUCUAUUGCUUAAAAAGGUGAGUUUUUUUAAUUUAUUAAUCUGAUGUGGUAAAAAAUAGAUGAUUGGAUUUUAUAGGAAAAUACACCUAGAAUGUUGUUAUGGAACUAUUUUAACACAGCUUAUAUAAGGAAAUGACAGCAUGAAACACUCACUGAACUCUUGGAACAUACAGUUGAUCAGAGCCAAAACACCACAAGUAACAUUUCCCUCUUUUUCACUUAUUGUCCUGCAGGCUACUUAAAAGACGAAGAGCUCCACAACAAGACGACACAUUUAUCAGACACAACAUAAUUAUUACCUUAUUCAUCUCAACAGUUAAUGUGUUAGUAAGGAUUUCUUAAUCCUCUAAUAGACAGAAAACGUGGUAUUUCCGCUGCAUUUACUGUCAAAAGCCAUUCCAAUUUUCACUGUCCAUUAAUGUAGUGAGUCUUUACCAGAGCUUUGUUGCUGAGAACUACAUCAGGGCCCCGUUCCUCGUACGUGGCUGACAGUAGUGGUGUAGUCUACGUGAUACGCAGGUCUACGCCGUAUAGCCACUAACAAAAGCUCGAUGAUACGUAACAACAUCGCUGUGACAGAACGUUGUAACCUCUCAUUCAGAAAUUCAGCCCGUCUGUGUUGUGAAGCACUUUGGAUCUUUGGGGCUUCCGUGCCCUCCAUCUGACGCAACGUCAUUACUAAGCAACAACACGUUGUUU